Molecule: ribosomal RNA, 400 nt
Filed under: uncultured bacterium
Lineage: Bacteria
Description: bacterial SSU rRNA
Rfam family: Bacterial small subunit ribosomal RNA
Source: RNAcentral
UGGGGAAUCUUGCGCAAUGGACGAAAGUCUGACGCAGCCACGCCGCGUGAGUGAAGAAGGCCUUCGGGUUGUAAAGCUCUGUCGUGCGGGACGAACAUCAUUUGGGUUAACAGCCCAAGUGACUGACGGUACCGCAGAAGGAAGCACCGGCUAACUUCGUGCCAGCAGCCGCGGUAAUACGAGGGGUGCAAGCGUUGCUCGGAAUUAUUGGGCGUAAAGGGUGGGUAGGUUGUCUCGUUUGUCUGAGGUGAAAUCCCCGAGCUUAACUUGGGAAGUGCCUUGGAAACGGCGAGACUAGAGUUCUUGAGAGGGUAGCGGAAUUCCCGGUGUAGCGGUGAAAUGCGUAGAGAUCGGGAGGAACAUCAGAGGCGAAGGCGGCUACCUGGAAAGACACUGACAC